RNAcentral lists this ribosomal RNA (460 nucleotides) under uncultured bacterium. RNAcentral describes it as "partial 16S ribosomal RNA". It matches the Rfam family "Bacterial small subunit ribosomal RNA", at positions 338 to 795 of the family's 1533-position model. The record is from RNAcentral.
CCUACGGGCGGCUGCAGUGAGGAAUAUUGGUCAAUGGACGAGAGUCUGAACCAGCCAAGUAGCGUGAAGGAUGACUGCCCUAUGGGUUGUAAACUUCUUUUAUAUGGGAAUAAAAUGUUCCACGUGUGGGAUUUUGUAUGUACCAUAUGAAUAAGGAUCGGCUAACUCCGUGCCAGCAGCCGCGGUAAUACGGAGGAUCCGAGCGUUAUCCGGAUUUAUUGGGUUUAAAGGGAGCGUAGGUGGAUUGUUAAGUCAGUUGUGAAAGUUUGCGGCUAAACCGUAAAAUUGCAGUUGAAACUGGCAGUCUUGAGUACAGUAGAGGUGGGCGGAAUUCGUGGUGUAGCGGUGAAAUGCUUAGAUAUCACGAAGAACUCCGAUUGCGAAGGCAGUUCACUGGACUGCAACUGACACUGAGGCUCGAAAGUGUGGGUAUCAAACAGGAUUAGAUACCCUAGUAGUC